AGAGUAACCUCCGGACACCAAGUAUUAAACCAGAAAAGACGUAACUGUUCUUUGAGAUUCUUGGCCAAUCCUUACUUCUGAUCAGACCAAGGGUCUUUUACUAUUACAACUAAUCAUUUCUAGGAGAUUAGCCUCAAUAAUUUUGACCCUCUGAACAGGACCCUGCGGGAAGCCUCUUGGUGUCCGUAUCCCCAUUGCCGAUCCCGAUCCUUACCAAUCAGCGGAUGGACGAACUUAAGCCAAUCGACUAAUCCCUCUCUUUGGCCGAUGCCCCCCAUUUAAUAGUGGAAACUUCUAUUGGUCCCCCAACUUCGACGUCCAAAGAGAGAUCGGGCACUGGACAGCAGACAACCACCCCACGAUCAGGCCCAAUAGUUAAUAAUGACUUUUGUCUAAAUAUGUCAAGUUAGGAUAUAUCAUCGCCAUUCCAGUUGCCACCUAUGUGCCUACUAAGCCCAU
Molecule: long non-coding RNA, 459 nt
Filed under: Elaeis guineensis (African oil palm)
Lineage: Eukaryota; Viridiplantae; Streptophyta; Magnoliopsida; Arecales; Arecaceae
Description: long non-coding RNA (EGUI_LNC005587)
Source: RNAcentral